RNAcentral lists this ribosomal RNA (1344 nucleotides) under Schedorhinotermes sp. 9 MW-2019. Its description in RNAcentral is "16S ribosomal RNA". The stretch from base 893 to 1270 matches the Rfam family "Archaeal large subunit ribosomal RNA", at positions 2150 to 2716 of the family's 2987-position model. Lineage: Eukaryota; Metazoa; Arthropoda; Insecta; Blattodea; Rhinotermitidae. The record is from RNAcentral.
GCAAUUCGAUGUGGUCUGAUUUAAUUUAUUUUUAUCAUUUUUGUUGGUAGUUUAUUUUAUUUAAUUGAAUUAUUUUAUUUGUUGUUGUAUAUUUUUUGAUUUGAUUUUUUUGGUUAUAGUUUAUUUGUACUGUAGGGGGUUAUUUUGUAUUUUAUUUUGUAAGUUGUCUUUGUUUGUCGUACCUUGUGUAUCAGGGUUCAUUAAAUUUUAUUAUUUAUUUUUAUUUCCCGAUUUUGAGAGGAGUUAAUGAUUUAUUUUAGUUACUGUUUUAUUAGUAUUAAUGAUAUUUUGUUGGUAGUGAAAUGUUAUUCGUCUUUGUUGGUAUCUGGUUUUCCAAGAAAUGAAUUUAAUUCAUGCGUCUUAUUGUAGAUUUAUUAUUUAUAUAUUAGGUUUUAAUGUGUCGUUAAGAUUAAGGGGGAUUAGCUCCUUUUUUUAUUUAUUAUAAUUUUCUUUUUAUUUUAAUUUUUGUUGAUUUUAUAGUGAUUUUCUAUUUGAUUAUGUUAAAAUUUUAUUUAUUAUUUGUUUUAUUUAUUUAUUAUUUAAUUUUAUAUUGGAAUGUUAUUUUUAAUUUUUGUUGUUUUGUAAUUAUUAUGUAAUUAGUAAAUUUGUUUUUUAUUUUGUCUAAUCGGGUUUUGAUAAUUUCUUUUGAGGAAUUAGGCAAAUAUUUGUGUCCGCCUGUUUAACAAAAACAUCUUUUCUUGUUAGUUUUUGAAGUAUGGCCUGCCCACUGAGUAUUUUUGAAGGGCCGCGGUAUUUUGACCGUGCAAAGGUAGCAUAAUCAUUAGUUCUUUAAUUGUGAUCUGGAAUGAAUGGCUUGACGAGAUGCAAGCUGUCUUAGGUUUGGUGAAAUUUUAGUUGAAUUUGGUUUCUGGGUUAAAAUACUCAGAUUUUUUUAUGGGACGAGAAGACCCUAUAGAGUUUUACACUUUUAUUUAUUGUUAUUAUUUGUUUUGAUUUGUUGUUUUUUAAAUAAGUUUAUUGUGUUUUGUUGGGGUGAUGGGAAGAAUUUGUUUAACUCUUCUUUAUUUGUAUACAUUUAUUUGUGUAAUUAUGAUCCAUUUUUUAUGAUUAAAAGAUUAAAUUACCUUAGGGAUAACAGCGUUAUCCCCCUUGAGAGUUCUUAUUGGCAGGGGGGUUUGCGACCUCGAUGUUGGAUUAAGGUUGAUUUUUGGUGUAGGAGCUGAAUAUAAAUAUUGGGUCUGUUCGACCUUUAAAAUCUUACAUGAUCUGAGUUCAAACCGGCGUGAGCCAGGUUGGUUUCUAUCUAUAAUGGUUUUGUAUACUUUAGUACGAGAGGACCAGGUGUGCGGAAUAAUUUUAAUUUUUGUUGAUUUUCAUUAACUU